RNAcentral lists this unclassified non-coding RNA (2074 nucleotides) under Pocillopora damicornis (cauliflower coral). RNAcentral's name for it is "fibroblast growth factor 1-like, transcript variant X2". Lineage: Eukaryota; Metazoa; Cnidaria; Anthozoa; Scleractinia; Pocilloporidae. The record is from RNAcentral.
AGACCGGAAGCUUUUGAAGCCGGCAAACGCUGUGGAAAAUGCAAACAACCUGAAAACGUACGGAUCUGAAUGGAGCUGUCAACUAUGAACUACAUGUAUCUGCUCUACGUUCAUCUUCUACUCUCAUAUUUUACGGAGAUACACUCGUCAGCCAAACCAUAUAAAGAAACAAAACCGCAAAAGAAAGAGCUGAAACCACUCAAAGGACCUCACUCAACUUCAAGGAACGAUGAAGACAACACCCAAAACCGGUUCCUAAGAACGUUCCUCCUCAAUAGGCAGAAACGUCCACGAUCUUCCACAGAAAACUCUUUUCGACGCGUCCGCAAGAUAACGAAAAGACCAACAACGACCACAAACUGUAAAAUAUUCUGCCGCAGUGGUUAUCACCUUCAAAUUCUCCCCAGUGGGGUAGUGAGGGGUACGGUUGACCAGGACAGCGAGUACGUGUUGUUUGAGAUGCAGUCAUUCGGGCCCAGUCUCGUUAGGCUGAUGAGUCCAGCGACGGGCAGGUAUCUAACUAUGAAAAGAGAUGGGACACUUCGUGGGUUGAGAAGCCAAACCACCCGAGACUCGCUCUUCAAAGAGACUCACGAAGAGAACGCGUUUCACUCUUAUGCGUCUUACAGAUAUUACAGAAAACAGCCACACGACAUGUUGGUUGGAAUCAAGAGGAACGGGCAAAUAAAGCGCGCCACGAAGACUUUCCAUGGACAAACUGCUACACAAUUUCUUGUCAUCAAAUUUUGAUCAAGGCUUAAGUUUUAAUUGUUCUCAUCCUCGAAGACCCAGGGGCUGUCAGUCGAUUUCUAGUCAGGGCGUAACAGCUAUGACUAGAUGUCGACUCACUGCCCCUCAGUCUCCAAAGAUGAAUUAUUCUUAGCUGUAUAAACAGAUCUUCCUUCAAAAUUGCUGCCUAAAUUUAAAGCUUUAUAUACGAAACUACUCUGGAAAUUGUGACAAGGUGCAUUCGGCGUCGAGUUGUUUCACCAAUCCGCAAAUGGAAGCAAAAGUGGGGAAAAGAAAAACCUGAGACUUAAUUACGAGUAUCAAACAACUUAAUUUGACAUUCAUUCUAUUCUUAAUCAGCAGAAAAGACAUCGUGGCCCUGAAAUUACGCUGCCGAGCCGCCAUUUUGGUCGUCUCUUAGCUGUUUCACCAUUUGUGUAACCAUUUGACCGCGUUUUAUUUCAGACAAGGUAGCGAAUGACGAACUGCUAACGUUCGAAAGGCAGCUUUGAAACUCUUAACGGUAGCCAAUUUACGUUCUCAACUCAGUUGAUAAAACCAAAUUACCUUGUUAUACUCUCUCACCGACGCAGCACCACAGUUUUUUUAGAUAGCGACCCCUUUAUUCAUUUGUUAUUUCAGACAGUCGAUUUUUCAAUAACGAGAGUUACACUGAGUCUAUAUCAGUUAUAGGUACGCACAAUCUGGACCAGGACGCUCUUUAGGGAAUGUUUUUCAUUUAAUGUUUCACUUCAGUGGCUAUUUUGAAGGAGUGUCUAGACAAAGCCGACGAUCUGAUUCAAGUUGUUAGGAAAUAUAUUUAGCUAGGCAAUAAACGCGUCCAACUCACGGACAUGCAAUUAUGUUCUUUAGUAAAAAAUAGUGUGAUUAGCAGAAAGAUCGCUCGCUUGUCUCAUAGAUUGAAAUCAUGCGAUUAUAAAAAUUUUUACUUUAUGACAAAUUUAAUUUUAUCAAAGUCUCAGUCAGAUGCCGAGUCAUCUCCGAGAGGCGAGAAUUUAAUCUCUAGUUCUUUUAACUACCUUUAUUGUGCCAAAGUCUCUCACAACAAGAUCAACGUGUUUUUUCCCCUUUUCUAAUUACGAAAUAAGUAAGCAGACACAUCGCCUCUAAAUUGCAGCCAUCACAACAGCUUUAAAGAUUUAUCGUAUUCAAUAUUUAUUUAUUUAUCCAUCUAUUUAGGAGAAUUAAGGAUAUUGAAUAUCAACGUGCAGUUUUUCUAAAAAGCAAUUCGAAUUAUUGUAUUGCAAAACGACGAUAGGUUAGGAGCUUCUUAACUAAUCAGACAUCUUGCCAAGAGUGAAAUAAAGUCACUAUUUCAAUUCCA